GUAGGUGAACCUGCGGAAGGAUCAUUAACACUUUUAUCCUUUUAUCCAAACCCCAAUGUGAACUUGUCUUCUACCCCUUUUCACUUUUCCAUUCACUAGUUUACUAUUGAGUGGAUAGUGUGAAGGGCCCUCAAGUUUUUUUUUCUCUUCUCUCUUUUUCCCAAAAGAGCAGACUGUUGAAGGAGAAACUGUCUUCCUUUUCACUUUUUCUAACUCCUAUAAUCAACCUUAACUGUUGAACUAAAUCCAAUCGCUUCUUACUUUUUCCUUUGUAACAGAAGGAGAGAGAGGAUAGUGAGUGAUCUUACGUAAUGUAUGAACAACUCUUAGCAAUGGAUAUCUUGGUUCUC
This 350-nucleotide unclassified non-coding RNA is filed under the name rhizosphere metagenome. RNAcentral's name for it is "partial ribosomal RNA internal transcribed spacer region". The record is from RNAcentral.